RNAcentral lists this ribosomal RNA (209 nucleotides) under uncultured bacterium. RNAcentral describes it as "partial 16S ribosomal RNA". It matches the Rfam family "Bacterial small subunit ribosomal RNA", at positions 568 to 776 of the family's 1533-position model. The record is from RNAcentral.
AGCGCAGGCGGUUUCUUAAGUCUGAUGUGAAAGCCUUCGGCUCAACCGAAGAAGUGCAUCGGAAACUGGGAAACUUGAGUGCAGAAGAGGACAGUGGAACUCCAUGUGUAGCGGUGGAAUGCGUAGAUAUAUGGAAGAACACCAGUGGCGAAGGCGGCUGUCUGGUCUGUAACUGACGCUGAGGCUCGAAAGCAUGGGUAGCAAAACGA